AUUAAACGCUGGCGGCAGGCUUAACACAUGCAAGUCGAGCGGGGGAAGGUAGCUUGCUACCGGACCUAGCGGCGGACGGGUGAGUAAUGCUUAAGAAUCUGCCUAUUAGUGGGGGACAACAUCUCGAAAGGGAUGCUAAUACCGCAUACGUCCUACGGGAGAAAGCAGGGGAUCUUCGGACCUUGCGCUAAUAGACGAGCCUAAGUCGGAUUAGCUAGUUGGUGGGGUAAAGGCCUACCAAGGCGACGAUCUGUAGCGGGUCUGAGAGGAUGGUCCGCCACACUGGGACUGAAACACGGGCCAGACUCCUACGGGAGGCAGCAGUGGGGAAUAUUGGACAAUGGGGGGAACCCUGAUCCAGCCAUGCCGCGUGUGUGAAGAAGGCCUUAUGGUUGUAAAGCAAUUUAAGCGAGGAGGAGGCUACUUUAGUUAAUACCUAGAGAUAGUGGACGUUACUCGCAGAAUAAGCACCGGCUAACUCUGUGCCAGCCGCCGCGGUAA
RNAcentral lists this ribosomal RNA (501 nucleotides) under uncultured bacterium. RNAcentral's name for it is "partial 16S ribosomal RNA". It matches the Rfam family "Bacterial small subunit ribosomal RNA", at positions 30 to 523 of the family's 1533-position model. The record is from RNAcentral.